UGCUAAUUCGCCAUACAAGAUGCUUAGCUUUUGAAGGUGCAUGAAUUGUUCAGAGGCUGCGCCAAUCUUCAUGUUGUGAGUGCACAUCUACCUUCCCUGUAGUAUUCAACAUACAUUUAUAUCCACUUUUAACACUAUAAUGGCCAUGAGUGCUAUCGAUCAAAAUUAAUUUAUCUUCCUCAACCGACUCAAAUAACGGAAUCUCAAGAAUGUUAUUAGAAACAUGCAAAGAAAAUAAAGACUCAAUUUUCUCUUUAUC
This 259-nucleotide long non-coding RNA is filed under the name Trifolium pratense (red clover). RNAcentral's name for it is "long non-coding RNA (TPRA_LNC005033)". The record is from RNAcentral. Lineage: Eukaryota; Viridiplantae; Streptophyta; Magnoliopsida; Fabales; Fabaceae.